This is a long non-coding RNA of Centruroides sculpturatus (bark scorpion), 1269 nucleotides long. RefSeq lists it as uncharacterized. NCBI's taxonomy places the organism in Eukaryota, Metazoa, Arthropoda, Arachnida, Scorpiones, Buthidae. The transcript has 3 exons. The record is from RefSeq and is a predicted model, not a curated record.
UACAUCCGGGUAAAGAACGAGAUAAAAACAUAAUUUAAAUUUGAACACUGUAGAUAAGUACAGUACAAUAAGCAUAUAGGCCUAUUCAACUCGUAUUCUGUUACAGUGUCUAGGAAACAAUACUUUACUCGACGUCAACCGACUGUUACUUGAACGUAAAGAUGAAGAAUAUCCUCUUGAUGAUGAUAAUUCUCUCUGCUUUCUUCUUAAAUGGGGUGGAGUUGGACAGAAAUAGCUGCAGACAUUUAAAACGAUGCGGAAAAUAUGGAUACUACAUAAACUGUUCGAAGUGCUGCAGAGAAUUCGGCCACAAUGGAGGAUAUUGCACUAUGUUCAAGUGUAUAUGCAGAACAUCACCUUGCUAGCUAAUUAAAACAUGAAAGCUGUGAGUUAUUUACGAAAUAAGAAAUUUAAAAUAAUACACGAUAUAACUAGAAAAGACGAUGCAUUAACGUUUGAUCUUUAAUACACAAUUAUAUAUAAUGGAAUGGGCCGUGUGAAAAUCGAAGAAAAAGGAUAAAGCAUAGUAAAGAAAAUUCAAGCCAGAAGGAUGGAACUUCAAUCCCACAAAUUAUAAAUUCAGAUACGUGGACUACAAAGACAAUCGAUGACUAUAAUGGAAAAUGAUUGAUUAAAGAAUGCCUUAGUGUAGGCUACAAUACAGUACACUGCAUAAGAGGUGAAGAGGAAACUCCAGUCCAUAAGAUUAAAAUGAAUUUCGUGACUCUGCACAAUACUUUUCUAUAUUGAAAAGUAGUGGGUGGGGAAGAAAGUCACUUAACACUCCUUGUAUAAAAUAUACAAUGUAUCCAAAGUCAAUACGCUGUUGUCAGGAAGGAAUUAGACAAAGGAGGAAGAAGAUUUUAUUGACAUUCCUCGAACAGUUAUAAAGUUAUGCGCGUUAUAUGAUAUGCUGAAUGUACAUUCUUUAUUCUGUUGCAGGGGUGUUAAGUGACUUUCUUUCCCACCCUAUACUUUUCAAUACAGGAAAGUAUCGUGCGGAGGCGCGAAAUCAAUUCCAAUCAUUGUACAAGAAAGACGAGUCCAUAUAUUUAAAUAUAGUGAAGGGUGCAUCUAACGUACCCCCCUAGGAAGUUCAGGUUUUAAUGAAGGUGUGAAGGCUACAAGUUUGAUACGUCAUUUGACAAAAUUAUAUUCUGAAAUUAUCUGAAUGACGGUUUUUACCCCCCCCCAAGGGUGUCCACUCUAUUUACGAUCAAAAAGGUUUGUGACCCUUUAAGAAAUAUUCAACCCCGAGUUUUGACUACG